CCUACGGGUGGCAGCAGUGAGGAAUAUUGGUCAAUGGGCGAAAGUCUGAACCAGCCAAGUAGCGUGAGGGAUGACUGCUCUAUGGAUUGUAAACUUCUUUUAUAAAGGAAUAAAACGAGGGACGUGUGCCGUUUUGCAUGUACUUUAUGAAUAAGGAUCGGCUAACUCCGUGCCAGCAGCCGCGGUAAUACGGAGGAUCCGAGCGUUAUCCGGAUUUAUUGGGUUUAAAGGGUGCGUAGAUGGGUUGUUAAGUCAGUGGUGAAAGUUUGCGGCUCAACCAUAAAAUUGCAGUUGAAACUGGGAGGCUUGAGUAUAUUUGAGGCAGGCGGAAUUCGUGGUGUAGCGGUGAAAUGCUUAGAUAUCACGAAGAACCCCGAUUGCGAAGGCAGCCUACCAAACCAUGACUGACAUUGAUGCUCGAAAGUGUGGGUAUCAAACAGGAUUAGAUACCCUAGUAGUC
Molecule: ribosomal RNA, 460 nt
Filed under: uncultured bacterium
Lineage: Bacteria
Description: partial 16S ribosomal RNA
Rfam family: Bacterial small subunit ribosomal RNA
Source: RNAcentral